RNAcentral lists this ribosomal RNA (287 nucleotides) under uncultured bacterium. RNAcentral describes it as "partial 16S ribosomal RNA". It matches the Rfam family "Bacterial small subunit ribosomal RNA", at positions 333 to 637 of the family's 1533-position model. The record is from RNAcentral.
AAUCUCCUACGGGACGCAGCAGUGGGGGGUAUUGCACAAUGGGGGGAACCCUGAUGCAGCGACGCCGCGUGGGCGAUGGAGUGCUUCGGCAUGUAAAGCACUCUCAGCAGGGAAGAAAAUGACGGUACCUGACUAAGAAGCCCCGGCUAACUACGUGCCAGCAGCCGCGGUAAUACGUAGGGGGCAAGCGUUAUCCGGAUUUACUGGGUGUAAAGGGAGCGUAGACGGUGCAGCAAGUCUGAUGUGAAAGGUCGGGGCCCAACCCCGGGACUGCAUUGGAAACUGUU